GGGCCCGCACAAGCGGUGGAGUAUGUGGUUUAAUUCGAUGCAACGCGAAGAACCUUACCAGGGUUUGACAUCCUGCGAAUCUCUUGGAAACAGGAGAGUGCCUUCGGGAACGCAGUGACAGGUGGUGCAUGGCUGUCGUCAGCUCGUGUCGUGAGAUGUUCGGUUAAGUCCGGCAACGAGCGCAACCCACAUCUUUAGUUGCCAGCAUUUAGUUGGGCACUCUAAAGAAACUGCCCGUGAUAAGCGGGAGGAAGGUGUGGAUGACGUCAAGUCCUCAUGGCCCUUACGGGUUGGGCUACACACGUGCUACAAUGGCAGUGACAAUGGGUUAAUCCCCAAAAGCUGUCUCAGUUCGGAUUGUCGUCUGCAACUCGCCUACGUGAAGGAGGAAUCGCUAGUAAUCGC
Molecule: ribosomal RNA, 405 nt
Filed under: uncultured bacterium
Lineage: Bacteria
Description: bacterial SSU rRNA
Rfam family: Bacterial small subunit ribosomal RNA
Source: RNAcentral